RNAcentral lists this small nuclear RNA (160 nucleotides) under Eyprepocnemis plorans. RNAcentral describes it as "U1 lineage 5". The stretch from base 24 to 160 matches the Rfam family "U1 spliceosomal RNA". From Rfam's summary of the family: U1 is a small nuclear RNA (snRNA) component of the spliceosome (involved in pre-mRNA splicing). The record is from RNAcentral. Lineage: Eukaryota; Metazoa; Arthropoda; Insecta; Orthoptera; Acrididae.
AUACUUUCAAAUGUCUUUUUCUGGGAAUUGGCUGGCGGUUUCUCCAGGGAGAGGCUCUUCCAUUGCACUUGGGUCGAGCUGACCUCUGCGAUUACUCCUAAUGCGAGUAACUCGGGCGCAUAAUUUUUGGUUGUCGGGACAGCGUUCGCGCUGUCCCGGU